Molecule: ribosomal RNA, 460 nt
Filed under: uncultured bacterium
Lineage: Bacteria
Description: partial 16S ribosomal RNA
Rfam family: Bacterial small subunit ribosomal RNA
Source: RNAcentral
CCUACGGGAGGCAGCAGUGAGGAAUAUUGGUCAAUGGGCGCGAGCCUGAACCAGCCAAGUAGCGUGAAGGAUGACCGCCCUACGGGUUGUAAACUUCUUUUAUAAAGGAAUAAAUUGAGGCACGUGUGCCUUUUUGUAUGUACUUUAUGAAUAAGGAUCGGCUAACUCCGUGCCAGCAGCCGCGGUAAUACGGAGGAUCCGAGCGUUAUCCGGCAUGACUGGGCGUAAAGGGUGCGUAGGUGGUUUGGCAAGUUAGUCGCGUAACCCCGGGGCUCAACCUCGGAACUACUACGAAAACUGGCGGACUUGAGUGCAGGAGGGGCAAUCGGAAUUCAUAGUGUAGCGGUGGAAUGCGUAGAUAUUAGGAGGAACACCAGUGGCGAAGGCGAAUUGCUGGACUGUAACUGACACUGAGGCACGAAAGCGUGGGGAGCAAACAGGAUUAGAUACCCCAGUAGUC